CUCCGCCAGCCCGGGCUCGGCAGCGGGGCCCUGGGCCGCCCGGCGCGGGGGGAACGGGGCUGCCGCUGCCUCCUCCCGGCCCCGUCCGGCCCUGCGCCCUCGGCCCUCACCUUGAGCAGCGUGUCCGCCAGUUGGUUCUUCGGAGAGGCUCUGCUGGCCGCGAUCAGGUGAUUGCGCGGGAGAAUAAAAAUCGUUUGUGAUGGCAAGAUCAAA
This is a long non-coding RNA of Haemorhous mexicanus (house finch), 213 nucleotides long. RefSeq lists it as uncharacterized. NCBI's taxonomy places the organism in Eukaryota, Metazoa, Chordata, Aves, Passeriformes, Fringillidae. The transcript is spliced from 2 exons. The record is from RefSeq and is a predicted model, not a curated record.